GGGCAUUCCCAUAUCUUUUACUAUAAUGAGCCUACCCUCUCUCUUUUCUGUUCGUAGUCAAAGAUAUUGAAACUGAUAUACAGAAUAUUAGGAGGGCUCUUCCGACCAGACAAAAAUCUAAAAUUGUCAGCAAAGUUGUUUAUUUAUUUGUUUUUUAUUUAAAAAAAUAAAAAUUAUUAUAUUUUCUUUUUUUUGUAUUUACCUUUUUAUUUAAAU
Molecule: unclassified non-coding RNA, 216 nt
Filed under: Hevea brasiliensis (rubber tree)
Lineage: Eukaryota; Viridiplantae; Streptophyta; Magnoliopsida; Malpighiales; Euphorbiaceae
Source: RNAcentral